This 70-nucleotide transfer RNA is filed under the name Marmota monax (woodchuck). RNAcentral's name for it is "tRNA.Ala". The record is from RNAcentral. Lineage: Eukaryota; Metazoa; Chordata; Mammalia; Rodentia; Sciuridae.
GUGUUGGGACUCAGUGGUAGAGUGCUUGCCUAGCAUGUAUGAGGCACAGGGUUCGAAACCCAGCACCACA